AGAGUUUGAUCCUGGCUCAGAACGAACGCUGGCGGCGUGCUUAACACAUGCAAGUCGUACGAGAAACCGGAACUUCGGUUCCGGGAGUAAAGUGGCGCACGGGUGAGUAACGCGUAGGUAAUCUACCCUUGGGUUUGGAAUAACUCGCCGAAAGGCGUGCUAAUACCGGAUAAAAUCUUUCGGAGGGAUCUGGAAGAUCAAAGGUGGCCUCUCCAUGGAUGCUACUGCCUGAGGAUGAGCCUGCGUCCCAUUAGCUUGUUGGUAGGGUAAUGGCCUACCAAGGCUACGAUGGGUAGCUGGUCUGAGAGGAUGAUCAGUCACACUGGAACUGGAACACGGUCCAGACUCCUACGGGAGGCAGCAGUGAGGAAUAUUGCGCAAUGGGGGAAACCCUGACGCAGCGACGCCGCGUGGGCGAAGAAGGCCUUCGGGUCGUAAAGCCCUGUCUAGAGGGAAGAAAUUCUCAAUGGAAUAAUACCCAUUGAGAUUGACGGUACCUCUGGAGGAAGCACCGGCUAACUCCGUGCCAGCAGCCGCGGUAAUACGGAGGGUGCUAGCGUUGUUCGGAAUUACUGGGCGUAAAGCGGGUGUAGGCGGUUUGUUAAGUCAGAUGUGAAAGCCCACGGCUCAACCGUGGAAGUGCAUCUGAAACUGGCAGACUUGAGUACCGGAGAGGGAAGUGGAAUUCCUGGUGUA
This 696-nucleotide ribosomal RNA is filed under the name uncultured bacterium. RNAcentral's name for it is "bacterial SSU rRNA". It matches the Rfam family "Bacterial small subunit ribosomal RNA", at positions 8 to 677 of the family's 1533-position model. The record is from RNAcentral.